This 465-nucleotide ribosomal RNA is filed under the name uncultured bacterium. RNAcentral describes it as "partial 16S ribosomal RNA". It matches the Rfam family "Bacterial small subunit ribosomal RNA", at positions 338 to 795 of the family's 1533-position model. The record is from RNAcentral.
CCUACGGGAGGCAGCAGUAGGGAAUCUUCCACAAUGGGCGAAAGCCUGAUGGAGCAACGCCGCGUGGGUGAAGAAGGUCUUCGGAUCGUAAAACCCUGUUGUUAGAGAAGAAAGUGCGUGAGAGUAACUGUUCACGUUUCGACGGUAUCUAACCAGAAAGCCACGGCUAACUACGUGCCAGCAGCCGCGGUAAUACGUAGGUUGCAAGCGUUAUCCGGAUUUAUUGGGCGUAAAGGGAACGAAGGCGGUCUUUUAAGUCUGAUGUGAAAGCCUUCGGCUUAACCGGAGUAGUGCAUUGGAAACUGGGAGACUGGAGUGCAGAAGAGGAGAGUGGAACUCCAUGUGUAGCGGUGAAAUGCGUAGAUAUAUGGAAGAACACCAGUGGCGAAAGCGGCUCUCUGGUCUGUAACUGACGCUGAGGUUCGAAAGCGUGGGUAGCAAACAGGAUUAGAUACCCCUGUAGUC